This 253-nucleotide ribosomal RNA is filed under the name uncultured bacterium. RNAcentral's name for it is "partial 16S ribosomal RNA". It matches the Rfam family "Bacterial small subunit ribosomal RNA", at positions 524 to 776 of the family's 1533-position model. The record is from RNAcentral.
UACAGAGGGGGCAAGCGUUGUUCGGAAUUACUGGGCGUAAAGGGCGCGUAGGCGGCCUUCUAAGUCGAACGUGAAAUCCCCGGGCUCAACCCGGGAACUGCGUCCGAUACUGGAAGGCUUGAAUCCGGGAGAGGGAUGUGGAAUUCCAGGUGUAGCGGUGAAAUGCGUAGAUAUCGGGAAGAACGCCCGUGGCGAAGGCGGCUCUCUGGGACGGUACUGACGCUGAGACGCGAAAGCGUGGGGAGCGAACAGG